AUGAUUUCUAUAAUGGAAUCAAUCAUCUCUACAAUGAAGACAACACUUCAGAAAAUGUGGAUUCUGUGUGCAACACUAAUUUAUCAAGGAGAGAAGCUGCUUUUCUCGCAUAUCUCCAGCACCUCGCACAGUUGUCACCACAUCAAAACUGUCUGGGAAUCCAUAUGCACACAUAUUUUCAAAAAAUCCAUUAAGAGGGACACAAAUUCUUCUUCGCUUUGAUUCAACACAUACUCAAACUAAAACAAGUGUCGAAAGCACAAAACCUCAACUGGGUUUCCCCCUGUACCUGGACAGAAACCUCGAGCACCACUGGUGUUCAUGACUGGGCAGCAGCAGCAAGGUCUGGCCUGGGGAAGCACCAGGCCCGGCACAGCUUAGGCCAGGCCCCUUUCAGAAAAAGCUGAUUUCUCUGGCACUGGAGACUGAGCCCCCUCUAACCUCGGAGCCCAAAGGACAGAGCCCUGUUCUUCCAACCAAAACAAGCCUAUGCCAUUCAAUCAAGCCCUGGACUAGGACGGGGGCAGAGCUUUCUGGCCCUCCCUGGACUCCCUCUCUUGCACAGGCAGCAAGGACAGAGACCUUGCCUUUCCCACUGCAUUGGAAGAACCAUGUCUCCCAGGCUUCUGGGACGUUGGGAAAGGCAAUGGGCUUUGCUUGAAGUUGGACAAGUCUGGAUAAGUGGCCCAGCAGCCUUGCAUCUUGCUACAUAAGUCAGGCAAAACAGGAGAACUCAGGCUUGGCAGACUCCCCAGCAUGCUGUGGGCAUUGCCAACUUGAGAAUGAUGCCCAGAUGGCAGGUCUGCCUGAGUGCUGGAUGAUUGGAAUGUCAGCAGGCUGGGUUUGAAGCGCCCUGCCAAAGUAGGCCAUUGGCCUUCCCUCUGGGGUGCAAACAUCUGAAAGACAA
Molecule: long non-coding RNA, 907 nt
Filed under: Phascolarctos cinereus (koala)
Lineage: Eukaryota; Metazoa; Chordata; Mammalia; Diprotodontia; Phascolarctidae
Description: lncRNA (ENSPCIG00000023695.2)
Source: RNAcentral